This 2639-nucleotide long non-coding RNA is filed under the name Homo sapiens (human). RNAcentral describes it as "HSALNT0157664". Lineage: Eukaryota; Metazoa; Chordata; Mammalia; Primates; Hominidae. The record is from RNAcentral.
GUGGGAUCUCGGCUCACUGCAACCUCCGCCUCCUGGCGGGAAUCAAGUGAUUCCCCUGCCUCAGGCUCACGGGUAGCUGGAACUACAGGCACCUGCCACCACACCCAGCUAAUUUUUGUAUUUUUAAUAGAGACAGCGUUUCUCCAUGUUGGCCAGGACGGUCUUGAACUCCUGACCUCAGGUGAUCCACCCACCUCAGCCUCCCAAAGUGCUGGGAUUACAGCCCUGAGCCACCGUGCCUGGCCUGUCUUCAUUGCCUUUGAAAAGCCCCAGAUCCAGCCUUCUAGCACAAGAAGUUGUCUAGUGGAAAACGGACACAGGUGUGCUGUUCAGGGGAGCAGGGGAGACGGGGACGUGACCUGGGCGUAGACUUUAAUGGAAGCCCUCUCGGUGGUGGAGCAUGGAGAAGCCUCGGUGUCAGAGCAUGAGGAGGAGCAAGGUGAGUAGCAUGUGUGCAGAGGGUGCACCUGCUGAAGAAACCAGGGACUGCUGUGUCCCCGACACCAAGCAAAGGAAGGUGUUAACAGAGGGGCCUGAGGUUGACGGUGGCCGUGGGGGCCUAGGGGACUAGGAUGGGGACUGUCCCCUGGAUCUGGCUCUGAUGGUCAGUGCAGGGGCAGCGUCCGCCUGGACGGGAGAAAGAGCCCAGAGGGGAGGAGGGGAGGAAGGCUCAGGCCGCAGCUGCUCAUCUCAGCAGGUCUUUCCUCCAAACUCCUCCUGGCUCACAGACUCUCAGGAAAUCACACCAGAAAGCAAAGGAGAGUGCCAUUACUCUGGAGGCCAUUUGAUUAAGCCCACUCUAAUUGUUUGUUAGUUCCCAAACAGCAAAUUUUUGUAUUUUCAUUAUUAGUAGUUAAAAAUUACUUGGAUACUCCACGGUUGGCAGAGUUAUGCAGACGGUCUCACCUGCGGGCUGCACGCAGCCGCUCCGUGGCGCACACAUGUUCUGCCGAAGUCCACGUUUCCGUGCAGCCCUCACCACCUGGACGCCAGGGCGGCGCGGGGGAGCCCUCACCUCACGCCUCACCCGGUGUGGACGUGGCACCUGCUCGCUGCCCCUCCCCUCUGAGCAGCUCCGUCUGCACACUGCGUAAGUUUGGCUGCAAGGCAACAAGGAAACUAAGCUGGAGUCCGGCGUGGCAUGUUGCCAGGGCCACCGGCAGGACAAGGAGCAAUAAAAGUUGAAUUUUAAAAAACAGAUAAAUAAUGUAUGUGUAGAAAAAGGAAGAAACCAGGUACAGAAGUGCACGUAGGUACCGUAUCCACAGAUUGAACACACAUGUGUGCAAAUACGUAUCCCCACACACGUGCACACACACAUACAUACACACACACAUACAUACACACACACACACACACACACGUAGCUGUCAUGUAGAAGCCACUGUUUUUUCAGCUCCAUUUGUGACUUUUAUCAUAACACACUGCCCUCCAGCGCAGCAAUGCCAGGUCUCUUAUAAAUAUUUAUGGCAACCUUUAGCUCUUCGGAAAGCAGCUCCUUCUGCCAUGUGAGGCGCUGCUCUGAGAGGUGACAGGGGUCCCAGGCUUCUCCGCUCUGCCGUGGCUCACAGGCUGUGGCACCUCUCCAUGGACCAGCUCCGGUGGGACGGGUCCUCUAGUUCACUGCCAGCAGGGUGACGGCGGAAACCCUGAAUGCAGCGAUUUUGAGAAGCAAAAUCGGCUGUCGUGUGUUUCUUUUAGGAACUGCAUCGGUGCGGUUGUGAUGAAACCAUUUCGCAUUUACUGAGUGUGCACGCACUCAAUUACAACACGAACAUGUGAAACCAGAACAACGCACAGGAGGAAGAUACGGUGUUUCGUCCUGUUGCCCAGGCUGGUCUUCUAGGCUCAGCCAUCUGCCCAGCUCAGCCUCCCCAAGUGCUGGGAUUAUGGGAGUGAGCCACCUCGCCCAGCCUAAAAUCCAUUUUAAAAAAACAUGAGAAAUGAUUUGCAUUUGGGACUGAAGAAGAAUGAAAGGCACCUGUAGUUUUGACGCCAAGAAAGCCUAGUUAUACCUUUAUUUUAUUAACCUACUAUUCACCAGGUUUCUGAGUGUGGUUUCUCAGUGUGACCCUAACCCGUCUUAGGAGAGGCGGUGCUAGGAACUGCUAUAGGGGGGCACAGCAGGUGGUCCCUAAAGUUGUGAUGCUCAAGAGAUUCACAGAAUAUCUGAAGAAAAAAGACACGUUUGUUUUUGCAUUUUCUGUGGUUUUGCUGUUGUUGUUCAUCACAAAGUUUGCAGGUUUGCUACAAUUGUGAACAUUCAGAACAAAACACAGAAUAAGAUAAAAAUCAUCAGCUAUGCAAUUGUUUGUUUUUUAAAUACACAUUCUCAAGAUUUUGGUGUUGCUUUUUCUCAGGAUUUUUCUCUGGGAACAUGUUUAUCUUUUCCUGUAGCUGGAAUGACACUCAAUUUUUAGUUUGGGUUUCUUCUUUUAUUCAUCAUUAUCCUGUGGCAAGUGUUUCCCCAGGGUAUGAAAUAUUAUUAAAAGUACAGACUUUAAGGGCUGUUUUGCUGUUUAUCACGUGUAUCAUAAUGUAUUUAAUGCUCCCCAUCUUUUUUUGAAUAUUUAAGUAGCUUUCUGGGUUGAAAUCUUGUAAAUUACACUGCAAUAAAUGUGUUUAUCAUUGGUGCACAU